Molecule: ribosomal RNA, 440 nt
Filed under: uncultured Rheinheimera sp.
Lineage: Bacteria; Pseudomonadati; Pseudomonadota; Gammaproteobacteria; Chromatiales; Chromatiaceae
Description: bacterial SSU rRNA
Rfam family: Bacterial small subunit ribosomal RNA
Source: RNAcentral
GGAAUAUUGGACAAUGGGCGCAAGCCUGAUCCAGCCAUGCCGCGUGUGUGAAGAAGGCCUUCGGGUUGUAAAGCACUUUCAGCGAGGAGGAAGGGUGAUGUGUUAAUAGCACAUCAUUUUGACGUUACUCGCAGAAGAAGCACCGGCUAACUCUGUGCCAGCAGCCGCGGUAAUACAGAGGGUGCAAGCGUUAAUCGGAAUUACUGGGCGUAAAGCGCACGUAGGCGGUUAGUUAAGUUGGAUGUGAAAGCCCCGGGCUCAACCUGGGAAUUGCAUUCAAAACUGGCUAACUAGAGUAUGUGAGAGGGGGGUAGAAUUCCAAGUGUAGCGGUGAAAUGCGUAGAGAUUUGGAGGAAUACCAGUGGCGAAGGCGGCCCCCUGGCACAAUACUGACGCUGAGGUGCGAAAGCGUGGGGAGCAAACAGGAUUAGAUACCCUAG